GCCGAUGUGGCGGAAUUGGUAGACGCGGUAGACUCAAAAUCUACUCUUACUUUGUAAGGUGCUGGUUCGAUUCCAGUCAUCGGCA
This 85-nucleotide transfer RNA is filed under the name Chlamydiae bacterium SM23_39. Its description in RNAcentral is "tRNA-Leu". It matches the Rfam family "tRNA". Rfam says of the family: Transfer RNA (tRNA) molecules are approximately 80 nucleotides in length. Their secondary structure includes four short double-helical elements and three loops (D, anti-codon, and T loops). The record is from RNAcentral. RNAcentral also lists the same sequence under 1 other name. Lineage: Bacteria; Pseudomonadati; Chlamydiota.